Molecule: ribosomal RNA, 253 nt
Filed under: uncultured bacterium
Lineage: Bacteria
Description: partial 16S ribosomal RNA
Rfam family: Bacterial small subunit ribosomal RNA
Source: RNAcentral
UACGGAGGGUGCGAGCGUUGUUCGGAAUCACUGGGCGUAAAGGGCGUGUAGGCGGUCCGCUAAGUCUGAUGUGAAAGUCCAGGGCUCAACCCUGGGAUGCGGGUGGAUACUGUCGGGCUCGAGUCCGGAAGAGGCGAGUGGAAUUCCUGGUGUAGCGGUGAAAUGCGCAGAUAUCAGGAGGAACACCGGUGGCGAAGGCGGCUCUCUGGUCCAUGUCUGACGCUGAGGUACGAAAGCCAGGGGAGCAAACGGG